AAUAAAAGCAGUUUGAAAAAAAAAAAAAGAAAGAAAGAAAAGAAAAAAAAAGAAAAAAAAAAAAAAAAAGGGGGUAUCCCAUCUUAUAUGGGAAUAAAGCAGGGCCGACAAGAGCCUUUCGGCUUGUUUAUUGACAGAGUAGCCAAUGCUAUACAAGCAGCAGGGGUACCAGAUUACCUGAAAGGGACUAUCUUGAAACAAUGUGCAAUACAGAAUAGUAACCCUUCAACGCGUAGUAUUUUAGCCACGCUCCCGGGAACAUGGACUAUUGAGGAGGGGCUAGAAAGAAUGGCGCAGGUACCUGUAGGACCGCAAGCUAUGCUAGUAGAGGCGGUGAAACAAUUAGGAGAGAGCAUGAGAGAGCAAGCACAGGCGUUGCGGGAUAAUAUGCAACAGAAUCAAAGACAGGUAUUCGCUGCCAUUGCUCCUUUGCAAAAUCCCGGCGGAAAUACCCCCCCGAUCACCAACUGCAAAACCAACAAACAUGAUGGAGCGGCUUGCUGGAAGGCUGGUUCGGGAAACGCCCAAAGAAGCGGGACAAGCCGCCCCGCGACGACACAAAAGGCGGCCUUCACCACAACAACUCAGCAACCCCCGCAGUUAACACAACCACCUCAGCCGGCGCCCAGCUCCACUCCGAACGGCAUGAAUCCCUUUGUCUUCGACCAGCCACCAGAGGGAGUCUCGGACUGGACUUGGCAACAGCGGUAGACGCCACCUUAUUGGAUACAAAGCCAACAAGAAUCCGGACGAAUGUCUACGGACCAGUAACUAUUAAUCAUGAGCCAGUAGGUGCCUUACUGAUUGGAAGAUCGUCCGCUACAAUGAAAGGAUUACAAGUUUUGACAGGAUUGAUCGACAAGGACUAUUUCAGGGAAAUACAAAUUGUGGUUUCAGCAAUGUUUCCACCUAUGCACAUACCACAAGGAUCGAGAAUAGCCCAGCUUAUUCCGCUUCCCCACCUGACUGUAGGGGUGGCACCAGCGAAAGAGCAACCACGAGGCUAUGGUGCUUUUGGUUCCACUGGAAGUGUAGUAUUACUGACUGUCGGAAUGCAUCAAAGGCCCCGACAAACCGUGACUGUAAGGUAUAAAGAAGAAUCUAUACGCACUAAUGCCUUAUUGGACACUGGAGCGGAUGUAUCAAUAAUUAGCACUAAGAUCUGGCCCCAGCAUUGGCCAACCCGAGAGACCAGCUCUACGGUAGCUGGAGUAGGCGGGGUCACCCUCGCCCGAAAAUCAUCGACGCUACAAUGGACUAUAGGGAACAAGGUGGUUAAUUGCUCCGUUUCCAUUUUACCCCUACCUGAAGGAGUACAAGCAUUAAUAGGGCGCGAUAUCCUUGCCCAGAUGGGUAUGGUGCUUACCUCAGAACACCCUUUAUAGCACCGGCCAUUGCCUGGACUUUCCCAAUCCCACUCAGCUGGAGGACUGAUCAGCCUGUGUGGGUAGAGCAAUGGCCGCUUAAACGGGAAAGUCUCAUUCAAGCACAUGAACUAGUAAAGGAACAGUACAAACAAGGUCAUCUAAGACUAUCUACCAGCCCUUGGAAUACCCCAAUAUUUGUGAUCAAGAAAAAAUCCGGCAAAUACAGACUUUUACACGAUCUACGUGCUGUAAACAGACAGAUGCAUGACAUGGGUGCUUUACAACCGGGGUUACCCAGCCCAGCAAUGAUCCCAGAAGGCUGGCACCUGCUAAUCGUAGAUUUAAAGGACUGUUUCUUUACUAUAGCCCUCCAUGAAGAUGAUAAACAGCGAUUUGCAUUUACACUCCCUGCUAUCAAUAGAGAGGGGCCAGACCAAAGAUUUGAAUGGACAGUACUACCGCAGGGUAUGCGAAACUCACCAACCCUCUGUCAACUCUAUGUCGAUGCGGCACUUCAACCGUUACGUCAACAGUGGCCAGAGACCAUGAUAUAUCACUACAUGGACGACAUAUUGUUGGCACAAAAAAACCCCUUUUCUCCUGAACAAAAAUUUGAUCUAAUCACACAAUUAAAGAAAAAGGAACUUGUGAUGGCCCCGGAAAAGGUACAGGAAUCCAGCCCCUGGCAGUAUCUAGGUUGGCAUAUUUCGAAUGCCACCAUCAGACCACAGAAAUUGACAAUCAGGACUGACAUAAGAACACUCAAUGAUGCUCAAAAACUACUAGGAGACCUCCAAUGGAUCCGUCCGGUUGUCGGCAUUCCUAAUGAACUUUUAAAUCUGCUACGCCCCUUGCUGAAGGGAACAGACCCAGCGGCUGCCGUCACGCUCACAGAGGAACAGCAACGGGUACUCCAGGAAAUUGCAUCGCUAAUUACUACGCGUGCUACGCAUCGACGCCUGGAAAAUCAGCCACUUGAUCUUACUAUUUUAUGUGGCCCACAAUACCUAAUGGGAGCCAUUACACAACACAAAAUAAAAACGGGGGAAAAAAGAGGGUUGGCGGAACCCAUUGUACUAGAAUGGAUAGCACCACCGUUACAACCAAAACGAACUAUUCAAGAAAAAAUUUCAACGCUGGCCGAACUCAUUAGGAAAGGAAGAAACCGAAUAUUGCAAAUUGAGGGAGCACCACCGAAUACCAUUUGGCUGCCAUUGAAACCCAACGACCUAGAAUGGUCAGGCGGUUGUUGAACGAGCAAACAACACUGUCAAACAAUACAUAGAGAAGUUUAAGGAUAUCCUAGACAUCAAGGAAAAAAUUGAUAAGACCCUAUUCGUACUAAACUAUUUGUGUGUAUUCGGGCACGACAAAGAACCACCAGCAAUCAAACAUCAUAUAGAAGAAGAAAAGGCUGAUAGCCGGACCUUUAGAGUAAAAUACCGGGACAUGAAAACGGGAGUAUGGAUAGGUCCAGCAGAGGACGCCUGACACUCUUUGCCCCUGACUUACAUGAUCAGCGUUGGUCAAAUCUGACUGCAGCAAUCAAACAUAGAAGAAGUGAGAAUCGUCGAGGCAAACGUGAAUUGAAAAAACUAGGUUCAGAUUGCGCUGAUGAUGUAGAAUUAUGGGGGCCUGCGGAAAGGUUUUUCGCCGCAGCUUUAGCUCCUAACGUUGCAGUUGCGCAUGCCAUGUCUAAUCUAAAUAAACUUGCUUGUUGGGCUGUUAAGCAAUCAAAUGUUACUACACAAAUUCUCUCUGAAAUGUCACAGGAUAUGGAUAGCCUGAGACAUGCAGUGUUGCAAAAUAGAGCA
Molecule: long non-coding RNA, 3181 nt
Organism: Dromaius novaehollandiae (emu)
Lineage: Eukaryota; Metazoa; Chordata; Aves; Casuariiformes; Dromaiidae
Exons: 2
Source: RefSeq, a predicted model, not a curated record